This 254-nucleotide ribosomal RNA is filed under the name uncultured bacterium. RNAcentral describes it as "partial 16S ribosomal RNA". It matches the Rfam family "Bacterial small subunit ribosomal RNA", at positions 524 to 776 of the family's 1533-position model. The record is from RNAcentral.
UACGGAGGGGGCUAGCGUUUGUUCGGAAUUACUGGGCGUAAAGCGCACGUAGGCGGCUUUGUAAGUUAGAGGUGAAAGCCCGGGGCUCAACUCCGGAAUUGCCUUUAAGACUGCAUCGCUAGAAUUGUGGAGAGGUAAGUGGAAUUCCGAGUGUAGAGGUGAAAUUCGUAGAUAUUCGCAAGAACACCAGUGGCGAAGGCGGCUCACUGGCCCGGUACUGACGCUGAGGUGCGAAAGCGUGGGGAGCAAACAGG